AGACAAAAAAGACCCUGUAUUUUCUUCGUUCGUUGCCGUUUGGUUUAUAGUGAUCUCGUGUUCUUUGUGUUAGCUGCUCUGCUCAGCUUGCCAGCCAUGGCGGCAAAGCAAGCGGCUUUUCUAAGAUAUUGUCGCUAAACUGUAUUUUGGGGUGAAAGUAUUGCUACUCGAUUCCAUCCUUAAAAAGUUGUGGUAAUAGAAAUGUUUUGAUCCUAU
RNAcentral lists this small RNA (216 nucleotides) under Oryza sativa Japonica Group (Japanese rice). Its description in RNAcentral is "misc RNA OsPAL". Lineage: Eukaryota; Viridiplantae; Streptophyta; Magnoliopsida; Poales; Poaceae. The record is from RNAcentral.